Molecule: ribosomal RNA, 2876 nt
Filed under: Candidatus Altarchaeales archaeon
Lineage: Archaea; Nanobdellati; Candidatus Altarchaeota; Candidatus Altarchaeia; Candidatus Altarchaeales
Description: 23S ribosomal RNA
Rfam family: Archaeal large subunit ribosomal RNA
Source: RNAcentral
AGGUGGAAGACUAGGUUCUAGACGCUGAAGAAGGACGUGGCUAACUGCGUUAAGCCUCGGCGAAGCGUAUGCAGCUUUUGAACCGAGGAUUUCUGAAUAGGACUUCCUCCUAGAAUCCGAAAGGAUAAGGAACGCAGGGAAUUGAAACAUCUUAGUACCUGCAGGAAAAGAAAUCAAUUGAGAUUUGGUGAGUAAGAGCGACUGAAAACCAAACAAGGCAAACCGAAUGAGCACUCGAAAGGGUGCUCGCAUGUGGUGUUUGGACCAGUCAUUAAACUUCCUAACUUGGAAACUUGAAGUCUCCUGGAACGGAGUGCCAUAGAGGGUGAAAGCCCCGUAGAGGCAACUAAGAAGGAAGCGACUGGUAUCCAGAGUACUGCUCCCUGGAUACGGAGUGGGAAUGUGGGUGGCAUCAACAUCCAACCUUAAAUACGUCUAGAGUCCGAUAGAGCACUAGUACCGUGAGGGAAAGUUGAAAAGAACCCUUGACAGGGAGUCAAAAGAACCUGAAACCUGAUAGGUAUGGAAUGGCAGGGCACUACGGUGUUCUGUCGUGCGUUUUGAAUAACGUGCCAGGGAGUUUGUCCAAGUGGCGAGCAUAACUCUAAAAGAGGGAUGCCCAGCGAAAGCAACAAGCGCGCAAGCAAUGAGGCGCGAGGUCUGAAAGGGCCUGAAGUCACUUGGGCCAUACCCGAAACCGUUCGAUCUAGCCCUGGAUAAGGUGAAGUGAGGGUAAAACCUCGUGGAGGCCUGAAGAGGUGCUACGUGCAUGUGUUCUUGUAAUCUGGGGCUAGGGGUGAAAAGCCAAUCGAGAGCGGUAAUAGCUGGUUCCUGCCGAAGUUGGCGUUAGUCAAGUCUCGAGCGAGACAACGGUUGUUGUAGAGCUACGGAUUGGGGAUUUAGGGGGAGAAAUCUUUCGGUUCCCUGUCCAACUCCGAAGGCAGCCGUGUUUUAGACCUCGGGAGACGGGGUGCCGGGGUAAGCUUGGCAUCCGAGAGGGGAACAACCCAGACUAUGGUUAAGGUCCCUAAGCGUUGGUUAAGUGUGAAAGGGUGAAGGGCGUCUGUGCCCAGAGACAGCGGGGAGGUUGGCUUAGAAGCAGCCAUCCUUUAAAAAGUGCGUAACAGCUUACCUGUCAAGGACGUAGGCCCUUAAAAUUGACGGGGCUAAACCAACCACCGAUACCAUAGACGACCCACAAGGUCGUGAUAGGCAGGCGUUCUGCAUGGACAGAAGCUUCUUUGAAAAAAGGAGUGGACCGGGUAGAAAUGAAAAUCCUGGCGGUAGUAGGAUCUUAGCAGAGUGAGAAUCUCUGCCACUGAAAGGGCAAGGGUUCCUUGGCAAUGUAGGUCAGCCAAGGGUUAGUCGAUCCUAACUGAACUCCUAAGUGGAGUUUAUGAGGAAAGGGAAACAGGUUAAUAUUCCUGUACUGUUCAAGUAUGCGUGGCAACACAAGUCCUGUUUUUGACACUUUCGGCUAGGCGAGCGUAGAUUGUCGUCUGCGUUAACCAGGAUAAAUCAAGGGAGUAUUGUAAUGAUGAGAACUUGAUUAAACCUGGGAAUAGUAGCCUUAUGGGUUAUCUCGCUGAUGCCCAGAGUCCAUGAAAAAAGAACAGGAAAAAAUCUUGGAUAUUCGUACCCAGAACCAGCACUGGUGCCCCUAGGUGAGAAGCCUAAAGUGUGAAGGAUUAAUUUGGUUGAGGGAAUUCGGCAAUUUAGCCCCGUGCCUUCGGUAUAAGGGGUCCCUGCUCUUGUACUCGCAUGAGCGCCAGAGCAGGGCGCAGUGACUAGAGGGGUCCGACUGUUUAACAAAAACACAACCUUCUGCAAAACCGUAAGGUCUCGUACAGAAGGUGACGUCUGCCCAGUGGCGGUAUCCGAAACUCUUUUUCAAAUAUUCCAAGUCUUAUCAAAUCAAACGACAAGGCUUGGGUAGAAAAUGGGAGCUAAGGACCGCUAAACGGCGGGAGUAACUAUAACUCUCUUAAGGUAGCGUAAUGCCUUGUCGUUUGAUUGACGACGUGCAUGAAGGGCGUAACGAGAUCCCUAGUGUCCCCAACCAAAAUCCUCCGAACACACCAUUCUGGUGCAGAGGCCAGAGAUCUCCAGUGGGAAGUGAAGACCCCGUGGAACUUUACUGUAGCUUGUUGCUGCGAUGUGAGUCUUGUUGUAUAGAGUAUGUGGGAGUCGUUUGAGGGUUUAGUCGUCAGGUUAGACCUGAGACAAAAGUGUAACACCACACUUCAAAACUUGCAUUGCUAACUUUUUUCGGAAAGGACACCUGCAGGCGGACAGUUCGGCUGGGGCGGCACGCUGUUGAAAACAUAUCAAUAGCGCCCAAAGGUUGGCUCAUUCCGGGCAGAAAUCGGAAGUAGAGUGCAAGGGCAAAAGCCAGCCUAACUGGAUUCUUAAACUGACGGAAUCCAAGGACGUAAGUCAGGCCUAGCGAACCUCAAUGUCUUCCUUGAUGGGAGCUUGGGAUGACCGAAAAGUUACCCCGGGGGUAACAGAGUUGUCGCGCCCGAGAGUUCACAGGAUCAAAGCACAAAGCUUUGUCCAGAACAGAUCGACGGCGCGGCUUGCUACAUCGAUGUCGGCUCUUCCUAUCCUGGCAGUGCAUAAGCUGCCAAGGGUGAGGGGGUUCACCUAUCAAAAGGGAUCGUUAGCUGGGUUCACAACGCUGUGAGGCAGUUGGUAUAAUAUCUACUGGAGAUGCUUGAUGUCUGAGGGGAAGGACGCCAUAGUACGAGAGGAACUGGCGUUCGAGGCCACUAGUUUACCGGUUAUCUGACAAGGUAUCAUGCCGGGCAGCCACGCCUUGAGGGAUAAGUCCUGAAAGCAUCUAAGGAUGAAGCCCUCCUCGAAAAGAGAUGUCA